GAGCAGUAAGAGAGAGAUAUCCGGGAGCCAGCAACCGGCCUUCGAGGCGUGCUCGCCUCCCACAAACAGAACCAAUCGCCGACUCUAGGGCUUUCCGAUGAAGAUUCGAGCGAUCAGAGGUGGUAGUGGCGAGUUUUUGGGGCCAGCUGGUGGAAUCAUGUCUUUCUCCCAUAUUCCCGUUUGCAUUCCACCACCAUCAUUCACUUUCAUUAUGAAAGAAAGCAAGAAACAAGAAUAAGGGUUAGGCACUUGAUUUGAAGAUGAAGGCCAGACCUAGAAAAUGUGAUUUGAAGAUUGAGUGAAAUAUUUAGAGAGAGAGAGAGAGAGAGAGAGAGAGAGAGAAAUGACUGCUUUCUCCGGCCGUCGAGCCUUCACGCCGGUGAUCGGAUGCUUUCUCCGGUAGCUUAGCAUUCAUGGUUACAAGAACACGUCAGAAAUGGAAGAAAAAAAAUGGCAAUGGGAGGUCAAAGAUUGGACAUUAUGAGUGAUUGAAUUUAGGAAAACUACACAACGUUUGUCAAAGGUGGGGGUAUGCUUAUCGGUCUUCUUCAGUUCAGGUGAGUAAAAAACAAUCCCUUUGAUUUGAUUUUGCUAUUUUCAAUCACUUUUUGAUGGAUUUUUAUUUCUUUGCUCGAAAUUUCAUGACGGGUUUCAAUAUCUAUUAUUUUGUGAAGAUUAAUGGGAAUGGUAUGCUGACAAACACCAUAAUUGCAAACUAUAAUGGAUAAAAUUGUUUCUGAGCAGAUUGGGUGUUUAACAUUAAUAAGGGGUAGAAACUAUGAUUUAUGAAUGAUGUUAUUUUGGUUGUUCAGGGACGGGUUGACCAUAUAUGGCUGGCUUGAAUACACAAUUCUUCUUUUUCAUGAAGGCCUUUGAGAUCACAAAGUGGUGCUAAAAGUAUUUUUUUUUCAACAGUGAUGAUUCAUAGGAGGAAAAACUUAAAACCGAUAUGGAAACUUCAAAAAUCUUGAAUUUCGAGAGAAUAAGUAAGAGGGAAAAAUAAGACGUGUUUUAAUCUUAAGUAUUGAGUUAUAGUCAGUUAAUAUCACUUGUAGAGUUGUUAGAUAUUUGUUCGAUUUCAUGUAUGUCUACACGAAGAGAAGGAGAAAAAUGUACACCCCGCUAUUGUGUAUUAUUUACAUCCAGCCUAAAUGAAUAACUAUGCACAUGUGGAAGACAAAUAUAAUGUGUGUUAGAGACCCGACUUUUACAUCUAAACAAAAUUAAAAUCCAUGUUAUAACAUGUGAUUGGCUUUUAUUCGAUUAUCAGAAAAUUGAAUUGUAGCCUUUAGUUAUACAAAUCUAACUUGGGAUAUGUCAUAUGCUUGAGUAUGAUACUGGUUAACACUAUCAUUCCUAUAACAGAUGAUCCUUGAUCCGGAUGUUUUAUAUUCCAAAGUAAAAGUUGUAUGAAAUGUUACAAAGUGUUUGAUAAAACUUACAUAAAAUGACAUGAAGAAGUGUGUAAGCUUAUAUUACAUGAUAUACUAUGAUUGCAUUUAGGAUUUGUAUAUGGUGUUGAAGAAGUGUGUAAGCUUAUAUUACAUGAUAUACUAUGAUUGCAUUUAGGAUUUGUAUAUGGUGUUGAUUACUUAUAGAUUAUUACACAUCAUGAGCAUCAUCCUUGCUACCACUACAUGUGUAAGCAUAUAUUACAUGAUAUACUAUGAUUGCAUUUAGGAUUUGUAUAUGGUGUUGAUUACUUAUAGAUUAUUACACAUCAUGAGCAUCAUCCUUGCUACCACUACAUGGCUGGUGACGGUGGGGAUUGUCGGCAUCGGACGGGAGAUUAGGUUGGUCGCGAUGUUGUUGAAGAGUUCCACCAGGUGACGGAGGCGGGUAAAAGCCCAGUGAAGAUCCGCCGAAGGAUGAUUUCGCGUAUGCGAGAUCCAAACCAUUGGAGAAGAAUUUACCUUCGGUGACGGUUAUUAAGGCGAUAGCGGCAGUUGAUUGAGAUUUGGCUCAUGAUAUCCCGGAGCAUUGGUUAGCUAAUUUUGUGGUUGAUUUAAUGAAGAUUGAUUUAAUGAAGAUGUAGGUUUUAAUAUUAGCUUUGAUGCAGUAUAUACAGUUGAUGCUACUUGCUAUGCCCCAAAUUCGAUUCACAGCCACCACCAAAAAGGCCGGGUAAAGGUGGAAUGGACGACUAAAAGCCGAACCAUAGACAUACCUUUUGUCCACCUAAAGGAACAAGUCACGGUGGAAUGGCAGCCUACAUCCAAAAAGCGCAAGACAUUUCUUUUGUACAGAUCAUGAUUGAAGAUUCAACUACCAAACAAGUACAUUACAUGUUGCGUAUAUAAGCAGCCACGACGGCUUUCCUUAGGAAAACUUGUAAUAAACGGUAAACCGUAUGCUAUUGACUUGAACAUGUAUCUCUAGAUGUCCUAAAUUUUGUUUGCCGCAUCUAUACGCGACAUGAUAAUCUCUAUACGUGACAGUAUAAUCGAUGAAUGAUAAUGUUAUUAACAGGAUCAAUGCUUGCAACCGUAACUUAAUAAAGCUAACUUGAAUCGUCGCGCAACGCGCG
This 2527-nucleotide long non-coding RNA is filed under the name Helianthus annuus (common sunflower). RNAcentral describes it as "hypothetical non coding rna". The record is from RNAcentral. Lineage: Eukaryota; Viridiplantae; Streptophyta; Magnoliopsida; Asterales; Asteraceae.